ACGAGUGGCGAACGGGUGAGUAAUAUAUCGGAACGUACCAUUCAGUGGGGGAUAACGUAGCGAAAGUUACGCUAAUACCGCAUAUUCUGUGAGCAGGAAAGCAGGGGAUCGCAAGACCUUGCGCUGAUUGAGCGGCCGAUAUCAGAUUAGCUUGUUGGUGAGGUAAAAGCUCACCAAGGCGACGAUCUGUAGCGGGUCUGAGAGGAUGAUCCGCCACACUGGAACUGAGACACGGUCCAGACUCCUACGGGAGGCAGCAGUGGGGAAUUUUGGACAAUGGGGGCAACCCUGAUCCAGCCAUGCCGCGUGAGUGAAGAAGGCCUUCGGGUUGUAAAGCUCUUUCAGCCGGGAAGAAAACGCAUGGGUUAAUACCCUGUGUGGAUGACGGUACCGGAAUAAGAAGCACCGGCUAACUACGUGCCAGCAGCCGCGGUAAUACGUAGGGUGCGAGCGUUAAUCGGAAUUACUGGGCGUAAAGCGUGCGCAGGCGGUUUUGUAAGACAGGCGUGAAAUCCCCGGGCUUAACCUGGGAACUGCGUUUGUGACUGCAAGGCUAGAGUACGGCAGAGGGGGGUGGAAUUCCACGUGUAGCAGUGAAAUGCGUAGAGAUGUGGAGGAACACCAAUGGCGAAGGCAGCCCCCUGGGUCGAUACUGACGCUCAUGCACGAAAGCGUAGGUAGCAAACAGGAUUAGAUACCCUGGUAGUCCACGCCCUAAACGAUGUCAACUAGGUGUUGGGAGGGUAAAACCUUUUAGUACCGGAGCUAACGCGUGAAGUUGACCGCCUGGGGAGUACGGCCGCAAGGUUAAAACUCAAAGGAAUUGACGGGGACCCGCACAAGCGGUGGAUGAUGUGGAUUAAUUCGAUGCAACGCGAAAAACCUUACCUACCCUUGACAUGCCAAGAACUUUCCAGAGAUGGAUUGGUGCCCGAAAGGGAACUUGGACACAGGUGCUGCAUGGCUGUCGUCAGCUCGUGUCGUGAGAUGUUGGGUAAGUCCCGCAACGAGCGCAACCCUUGUCGUUAAUUGCCAUCAUUUGGUUGGGCACUUUAACGAGACUGCCGGUGACAAACCGGGGGAAGGUGGGGAUGACGUCAAGUCCUCAUGGCCCUUAUGGGUAGGGCUUCACACGUCAUACAAUGGUCGGUACAAAGGGUCGCCAAGCCGCGAGGUGGAGCCAAUCCCAGAAAGCCGAUCGUAGUCCGGAUCGCAGUCUGCAACUCGACUGCGUGAAGUCGGAAUCGCUAGUAAUCGUGGAUCAGAAUGUCACGGUAAAUACGUUCCCGGGUCUUGUACACACCGCCCGUCACACCAUGGGAGCGGGUUCCGCCAGAGGUAGGUAGCCUAACCGCAAGGAGGGCGCUUACCACGGCGGGGUUCGUGACUGGGGUGAAGUCGUAACAAGGUA
Molecule: ribosomal RNA, 1411 nt
Filed under: metagenome
Description: bacterial SSU rRNA
Rfam family: Bacterial small subunit ribosomal RNA
Source: RNAcentral